Molecule: long non-coding RNA, 307 nt
Filed under: Chinchilla lanigera (long-tailed chinchilla)
Lineage: Eukaryota; Metazoa; Chordata; Mammalia; Rodentia; Chinchillidae
Description: lncRNA (ENSCLAG00000028799.1)
Source: RNAcentral
UUUGAAAUAGAAGAAAGGAAGUAGAUUCCAGAUGUAUUUAGGAUGAAGGAUUAUUUUCAUUUUUGUUUGCCAAAGUGAAUCUUGAGUCUUAUAUACAUACGAAGCAGCAGGAAAUGUUCACCAGUUAUGCUGAGCAUAUCACCCACAGAACAUUUUUUUAUUUACCUCGCUACGUGCUUCCUUAGAAAGUUGAGAAGAGAUUGCACAGACCAUUAUUUCUCCAGUAAAAAGUAAUCACAACUGCUAAUUAUUCAGUUUAAAAUCUGCUUAACCUCAAAGCCACUUUUAUGAAGACUGUUAUCAUCAU